This 555-nucleotide ribosomal RNA is filed under the name Bacillus sp. (in: firmicutes). RNAcentral's name for it is "bacterial SSU rRNA". It matches the Rfam family "Bacterial small subunit ribosomal RNA", at positions 117 to 656 of the family's 1533-position model. The record is from RNAcentral. Lineage: Bacteria; Bacillati; Bacillota; Bacilli; Caryophanales; Bacillaceae.
GUGGGCAACCUGCCCUACAGACUGGGAUAACUCCGGGAAACCGGAGCUAAUACCGGGUAAUACAUAGCAUCGCAUGAUGCAACGUUGAAAGUUGGCCUUUGGCUAACACUGUAGGAUGGGCCCGCGGCGCAUUAGCUAGUUGGUAAGGUAACGGCUUACCAAGGCCACGAUGCGUAGCCGACCUGAGAGGGUGAUCGGCCACACUGGGACUGAGACACGGCCCAGACUCCUACGGGAGGCAGCAGUAGGGAAUCUUCCGCAAUGGACGAAAGUCUGACGGAGCAACGCCGCGUGAGUGACGAAGGCCUUCGGGUCGUAAAGCUCUGUUGUUAGGGAAGAACAAGUACCGUUCGAACAGGGCGGUACCUUGACGGUACCUAACCAGAAAGCCACGGCUAACUACGUGCCAGCAGCCGCGGUAAUACGUAGGUGGCAAGCGUUGUCCGGAAUUAUUGGGCGUAAAGCGCGCGCAGGCGGUCUCUUAAGUCUGAUGUGAAAGCCCACGGCUCAACCGUGGAGGGCCAUUGGAAACUGGGGGACUUGAGUGCAGAAGAG